Molecule: long non-coding RNA, 1160 nt
Filed under: Callithrix jacchus (white-tufted-ear marmoset)
Lineage: Eukaryota; Metazoa; Chordata; Mammalia; Primates; Cebidae
Description: lncRNA (ENSCJAG00000053293.2)
Source: RNAcentral
AUCUCUUUCUGCUGGAUACUUUGGGUGUUUCUACUUUGUAUACAGAAUGCUGAUUGAUAUAUAGGACACAGCUGGGCCAGGUGAAAGCUGGGCUAAACAAAGGAGGGGUCAGCCUGGGCCUGAUUCAGAGGCCAAGGAAGAUGCUGACCCUGGUGUCUGUGAUGAGGAUGUGAUGUGGUUGAGAAAAAUCUCGAGCUUCAGGGUCAGAGGCUCUCAGGGUGAGCAGGGACAGACCAUCAGCCGGGCUUCAGUGACCUGCUGUGGACGCUGGAGGGGAGCAUUGCAGAAAUCCCAACAGGUCCUUUCAAAGGUGGCCUAGAACUGCCCUCAUUCAGAAACCAAGGGCUGCUCUCCUGUGGAGGGCUGAAGAAGACGGGCAAACAAAUCCAGCCACAGCUCACCCAGAGCCUGGGGUCCGGCUGGGUCUGGGUGACCAAUGUGGGGCCAAUUCUAGUACAUCCAGAGGAGGACAGGUGAGCAGCCCCCUCAAGGGGGCAGGCUGGAAAAGUGCAGAGUGUCAAGAAUUUCCUGGGGAAAGUGCUCAGGCUGCCUCGGCCCUGUGGUGCGCAUCUGCCAGCCCCCAGAGCAGUUCACCCUUUCAAGAGGAGAUGCUGCAGCAACCAGAGGGGCUCCGAGGUGCCUGCCCAGCUGGGCCCUGCACCCAAGAGAAAGGAGAGGCUGAGGCUACUGCAAAGGUACCAAGUUCCCGCCGGACUUACAUCUGAGCACCACACAUUCCCCCUACAGAAAGAUUAAAAGAGACUGUCUGCAGCUGAAUGACUAGGAGUAAUGGAAUUAGGCGUGAUCUGUGCGGUACCUGGCUCUCAGCUCCUGGCUGCAUUUGAUUGGCAGAGACAUCAUUUGCUGAGUGUUGCUGCCUGCCCAGUGACAUACAGCUACUGUGCCAGGCUUGGGGAUGCCUCCAUGGAGAUUGCAGCCUUAAACUGGACAAGGGCUACCCAGGGGCCUAUGGAAGAAUACAAGAGGGGUCUCACUGUCUCUCUGGGAGAAACCAUUAUAGCAUAGAGCAACUGUAUUUUGGUAAUACCAGGCUACGCUGUGUUUUUUUUUUUAAUUAACCUCCAAAUCUUAAUAUCUUAAUGCAAUAAAAUAUUUACUUUUUGCACAUGUAAAUUCCAGUGUAGGAUGUCUGAUUCUCC